RNAcentral lists this ribosomal RNA (1179 nucleotides) under Isospora peromysis. Its description in RNAcentral is "partial 23S ribosomal RNA". It matches the Rfam family "Bacterial large subunit ribosomal RNA", at positions 1166 to 2437 of the family's 2925-position model. The record is from RNAcentral. Lineage: Eukaryota; Apicomplexa; Conoidasida; Eucoccidiorida; Eimeriidae.
UAAAAUGAAUAACAAAAUAUUCUUUACUGAAGUAAUGGGAUCUAUUAUUAAAUAUAAUAUAGUAAUAGAUCGGUAGGGGAGCGUUCUACAUUAAAAUAAAGCAAAGUUAAUAAAUUUUGUGAAUAAAGUAGAAGUGAGAAUGUCGGUUUAAGUAACAAUAAAUAUUAAGAUGAAUCUAAUACCUCGAAAACUCAAAAGGUUCCUAUGAAAGGAUAUACCGCAUAGGGUUAGUCGGGACCUAAGAUAAGAAAUUUAUUAUAAUCGAUGGUAAUCAAGUUAAUAUUCUUGAACCAUAUUUAUAUGCUAUACNAGUANUGACCUUAAUUUAGUUUUUAAGUAAAAUAAAUGAUUUUUUUCUUAAAAAUAAAAAUUUUUGCUAGAAAAAUGAUACUGUAUAAUUGUAAAUAUGCCCGUACUAAAACUGACACAAGUGAGUAAGUAUUAAUGUACUAAGAGGACGAAACAAAUUUUUUUAAGGAAAUCGGCAAAACAAUCCUGUAACUUAGGGAUAAAGGAUGCCUAUAAGGCUGCAAUUAAAAAGUUCAAGCGACUGUUUCUCAAAAACACAGGUAUCCGCAAAGUGUAAUUACGAAGUAAGGAUACUGACACCUGCCCAGUGCUAGUAAGUUAAGAAAAAUUUUUAUGUAAUACAAAUAAUUUUUUUAUAAGCUCUAGUAAACGGCGGCUGUAACUAUAACGGUCCUAAGGUAGCGAAAUUCAUUGUCGGGUAAGUUCCGACCCGCACGAAAGGUGAAACGACUUGAACACUGUCUUUAAGAAAAAUUCGGUGAAAUAGAAAUGUCUGUAAAGAUCCAGGCCUUUUACAUCAGGCCAGAAAGCCCCUAAGAAGCUUUACGUGCAAUUUGUAAUUGCCAUUCAAUUUUAUUUAUAUAGUGUAAGUGGGAAGUUCUUACUUCAAAUGAAACACCCCUUUAAUAACACUUAAAUUCUCACGAUAAUUUUUUCAUCAUAUUAAAUCAAAAUUUCAAAAAGGUAGUUUGGCUGGGCCGGUUGCCUCCUAAAGAGUCACCGAGGUGCCCAAAGGUGCUUUUUUUUUAAUACAAUAAAAUAUUAAAAUUAAAAAAUGUAAAGGUUUAAUAGUAAAAAGGCUUGAUUGUAAGAGGAACUACUUAAGCAAGGACGAAAGUCGGUCUUAAUGAUCCGGUAGAUCUAAGUGGA